GCAGCGGGUUGGUCGGCUGAGUGGCGGAGCGGAAGCGCAGACGGGGACCGGGAAAGGCGCUGUCGGUGACAUCACGGAUAGGGCGAUUCCUAUGUAGAUGAGGCAGCGCAGGGGCUGCUGCUUCGGCCACAGAGGAUUUCUUGUGCUGUGGGAGCAAGUCCAGGACCGCCGGUUAAAUUUGGUUGGUAACGUUAGAGAUACUCCUCACGUGCUUGGAAUGCCUCUCAUUAUCUUCUUCAGGUUACAAGGGCUCCAGAAUAGUGACAUAAGGGUGAGUGCAAGAUUUUUGCUAUAGUUCUUUGCUUUUUUUUUUUUUUUCCUCUUAGAGUGGUUAGCAUCCAUGUAUCUGAAAUAAUAAAUCAAGAGUAGAGAUGGGCAUCUGUAUUAGUUUUCUAUUGCUGCCUAUUAGCACAUGC
Molecule: long non-coding RNA, 416 nt
Filed under: Macaca nemestrina (pig-tailed macaque)
Lineage: Eukaryota; Metazoa; Chordata; Mammalia; Primates; Cercopithecidae
Description: lncRNA (ENSMNEG00000045721.1)
Source: RNAcentral